RNAcentral lists this ribosomal RNA (66 nucleotides) under Aspergillus aculeatus. Its description in RNAcentral is "partial 18S ribosomal RNA". The stretch from base 1 to 42 matches the Rfam family "Eukaryotic small subunit ribosomal RNA", at positions 1790 to 1831 of the family's 1831-position model. The record is from RNAcentral. Lineage: Eukaryota; Fungi; Ascomycota; Eurotiomycetes; Eurotiales; Aspergillaceae.
CGUAACAAGGUUUCCGUAGGUGAACCUGCGGAAGGAUCAUUACCGAGUGCUGGGUCCUUCGGGGCC